Long non-coding RNA from Columba livia (rock pigeon), 12340 nucleotides. RefSeq lists it as uncharacterized. NCBI's taxonomy places the organism in Eukaryota, Metazoa, Chordata, Aves, Columbiformes, Columbidae. The record is from RefSeq and is a predicted model, not a curated record. The transcript has 5 exons.
UGGAUCUUCUGAGUACUAAAAUGAUGCCUUCAUAAUUGGACUGUCUUACUGGCCAAGCUGUGCUGGGGUAGAAGGGGCAUGCAUACACCUCCCUUUUCCCUUCCUGGCAAUUGCUUUAAAGAGUCAGAGAGAGUGUCUGGCAUCCAGACAUCUUUCUUUAGGGAAUGAAAAAAGAGAGAAAGAGUUCUCUCAUUCUUAUAUGCUGGCUCGAAAGAUCAUUGUGUACAAUUAAAACUGUGUCCAUAAGAAUAAUUUAGCAGAAAGUAUCUACCAUGUGAAUGCUGCCAAGGAAAUGUAUUUUGGUUUUCUAAACACCUGCUUCUUUUCUCAUAUGCAUCUUUAUUUUUUGCUUGGGAUGCAUGAGUGAUGUGGGGUAAAGUAACUCAUGACAAGCUGCUGAGCAACACUUGCUGAGAAAUGGCAGGAGUCGGUACCACUCAGGAGAAGUGCUAGUUUUCAGAAAAUAAAGGCAAAAGUGAAAGAUCAAACUUGUCUCUGAGCGAGUUUCUUGUUUGAGGCAGUGGGAAGGUGUUACAGACAAGCAUGUGGAGCAUACAAGAUGUUAACUUACUGCUUCACAGAAACAGCUUAUGCUCUUUUACACAUUGGUGUGCAGGUAUCUGUAAUGAAUGUUCUGCUGUGGCAACGCUGCAUCGUUAUAUCUGUCCAUUUUAAUAUAGAAAAUAGUAAUAUCAUGCGGUUUUUCUUUGAAGUAUAUGUGCGAGCUGAAACACUGUAACCAGUCUUAUGGCUUUACGCUCUGUGGAAGGAUAGGGGCAGGAGGAAAUACAAGAAGAAGCAAAAAAGUAAAAUCAUCAGUCCUGAAUGCUACUUGACUCUGUACCAGUGUCUGUUAUGAGUUCCUGAUUCAGUCUUGGUGCUGUUUAUUUUAAUCUGUGUGGUGAGAAUCAGAUGAAAAGCAACCAUGACCAGGCAAGAUGUGACUGUGAUUCUGUAAGGGGAAAAAUUGCUGUGGCAAUCCUGGCCAUUGGUUGUGGGUAGCUGGCUGAUUUUGGCCAGCUGCUGGGUAGCUGUAGAUGGUGGGUGCCCUUGGGGAUAAGGUGACUUUCAGAUAAUUAGACAAACAUACAAACUGUGUCUUAAAACAAAAGAUAUUGAAUUACUUCUUUUGGCUGCUCAAGAUGAAGUUUCUGAAGAGAAGGACAGCAAGUGCUGAACCCAGUUGGAGCCUGAAUUUUUCCCACAUGCCAAGGGGAAGAAAUGCAAGAUUUGACAGCAAGAGAAAGGGAAGGGUAGAUGCCUGCUAUGGGAAGGAAUACUCUUUGUGUGACAACAAAUUAUUUUGAUCUUUGUGUUCAUUAGAUGAGGUCAGGUCUCUGAGCUCAUUGCCCAGGUGUAUGGAUGCUACUGCAAUGCAAGGGAAGCAGCUGCAGCAGGUGAAGAGGACAUCAGGUCUUCCCCUCUUCACCAGCAUAGUCCUCUUAAAGCAGUGAUGACAUGGGAAUCCGGGGCAGUGGGUUUAACACUAGUUAAGCCAAUCUGCUGAAUAUCACUUGUGUUCACUGGUAGAAAUCUACCCUUACCUACAUGCUUGCAGCAGGGGUCAGAUGAGAGCUACUACUUAUGGCUUGAGAAUCCGUAGCCAGGUGUUGAGGAGGAGAGGGAGAAGAAUGAGUUGUCUUUCCAGCAUCGCCUGCCCAUUACUUCAGCUUAGCUGUCACAUGAAAACUGCACCCUGAAGGACUGGUGAAGUGACAGAGCUGCAGCUGGGCGCAAUACCAAAACGAGCGUUUUGUCAGACCGGUGCCGAUUCAAUUCUUCAUUUCUCCAGCUGCAGUUAGUGUAAAAGCUGGCUUCAGAUUGCUUGCCAAGCUCUAGAUUGUCAUCAAAUAGCACAGCUUUGCAGACCUUAUUACCCUUCACAGUAUGUCAUACAGGACCUGACUGUUAUUCCACCAGAGACUGUCCAAGCUAACCUAUUGAAAUAUAUCCUAGUUGUUCCCUUACUCACUCCUAAAGCCCCCUGCAAGGGUAGCUGUCAUUAUUCCUGAUCUUAACACCACUCUAACAAGAGGGGUAACUCCUGGAAAAGUGAAGUAUAUAUCCAUUCUGUUUCCAGUUUGUGACUCUGCUUCUUGACAAUUACAGAGCAUUGGCAGGGAUUUGGGACUGCUGGUAGAUGUCAGCAGGAUCCAGCAAUCCAGCCGAGCAUCUCCCACACCUGUGAAAGCUGUAGAAAGGCAUCAUGUAACUUUUGUUUCCUUCAAGAGUGGGGUCGUGGUUCUGUGUGAGUUAUGAUCACGAUUGUUGGUGCUCUGAGCACUGGCAGAGGAAGCUGCUGAUAAAUUAGGUGCAGCAGCAGCAGCUGCAAAAUCGCUGUCCUGCUGGCUGAAAAAAGGCAAAGUCAUCAGAGAAUUAAGCUGAACUGCCUAGCAUAUUUUGCACUCAGAAGGCAGCUUUGUAGGAAUUAUAAGGAAGAUGAUGCCGUAUAAUUUUUUUUCUAACUUCUGUUGAAACUACAGCUGUUGUUCUUCAGGCCUAAUAUUCUUCCAUGCAAUGAACUGCCCCCACUCAGCUUCUUCAAAUAGGAUCAAAAGGGUCAGCUGGAAAAAUCUAUAAAGAGGUGGAACAGUCUGAAGAAGAAUGCAGAGGCUUUGAGCAGUGGCUGCUUGGCAACCAAGGUCAAAUCACACCUUAAUAGCUGGAAGUACACCCAGGAGUUCAGACGUCUUAAAUCAGACCCUAAUGAUCAUGACUGGGUAGAAGACGAGAGUUCACAACUCCAGACUAGUGUGUGGAAAACUGGCUGUAUUCUGCCAACAGAGAAUAAGAAAAUAUUGUCUUCUUUUUUCAAAGCUUUUUGCUCACAUGAGAUUGAGGCUUCACUCCAGACAUCCUAUAAAAAAAUCAGUAGGGAACCCCAAAGUAGUAGUAACCACUCAAGCUGUGCUGUGUUUGGCACAUGGGACUUCCACUGGGACUGUGGGCAUCUUGUUAAUUUAGACAAAAUUACAUUAAUGAUAUCCACUUCUAAAUUGCUUUUCAAACUUGUACUUCGGUGUAACUUAUCAUGAGUUACUUUGGUCACAUGUCUCUCCAGUUCAGGACUUGUGACUGCUAUAAUGCUAUUUGUACCUUUUGCAGUGUAUUAUUUCAAUUAUACAUGAAGUGUAGCAAAUUUUAAGUUUCUGUAAUUUACUUUUCAACUAGCUUCCUUUGCCCAAGGUAACUAGAAGCUAUUAAAAACUUGCGUUAAAAUCAGCAGCAUAAAUAAAGCUGCCUUCUGUAUUUCACUCUUGCUGGCACCAAUGUUGCCUGGCAUAGUAAAAAUUAAAUUUAAAAGUAUCUGUAAAUGUGAAAUCUGAACUUUGAAAUGCUAAAACUUUGAAAUAAAAGCACUUUGUUAGUGUAGCUCUGAUGCUGUGCCAUCUUCAGAAAUUGCUUGGACCUAAAGAACCUGGCAGAAGUCUGUUUGACUGAGCAGCUGACUUCUGUCUGGUCAACACAGAGUAGACUUAAGUAGACCUUUAAGACCAGUUCUCUGUGCAUUUCUCAAUCUAGAAGUCAUGAGCAAGACUUGAACCCACAGGCAGUGAAAUCAAAAGAUGGGGCUCUUCUUAAUCAGCCGUCAUGAGAAGUCGGUGCCCAGCCACAGCCCCUGGAUAAAUCCUCCUCUCUUGCAUUGGCAAAGUUGAGCUUUCUUAGCACAGAAAAAAAACUAACUCGAUUGCAGGGUGGUGGCUGCCAGAGGCACGUGAGUGAGGCAAUGAUUUAGUUCUUUAAGUUGACAGACCUCAGCUCUUUCACCAUCUCUGUCUGCCCUGGGAUUGUGAAACCUCUGAGCACGCUGCAAAAUUCAUCAACAUAGUAAUUCCUUGUUCCCAAAGGUAUAAUCAGGUGAAAAGCUGGCCCCUCAGCCUGUGGUUCAGCAGAGCUCCUAUGAGGCUGCAGGGCCGAGCACGUGGCUGAUUCAUUUCUCUUGCGCAAGACUGCCUGCACUGCUGUAAGAAACUGAAUUGUUCCCAGGGGCGGGCCUUGCUGGAGUUAAAUACAUGCCCUCCUUCAUCAAACUGCUUUCUGUGAUUUCUGCACAUUUCACAAGACAGUUGAGUUACUGGUGAGUAAAAUUUACAACCAGAAGCCUCAGCCCCUCUAGAAAGUCAAAGAGGAGUUGUAAUGCAUCGUAUGUAUUCCAAAGAUUAGUUGUUAGUUGUUCUGAGACACAAGUUUAACCGAUGCUAAUGUAAUAUUAAUACAUAGUUUCUUCUAAUAAGCUCUUUGCAGCUGAAAAAUGUGAUCACUACUACAAAACAAAAAGCUUAACCUUCAGAAAAUGAAGGGUCUGCAGCUAGCAGUUUGACUAUUUAAUGAACUCUCUCAGCUAACAGCCUGUAUCCAUGCUGUCUUAGUAUGUGAAAAAUGUGCUUGGUGCCACAGUGAUGUCAGGAUCCCCGAGCCGAUCGCAGCUUAUGGCUUCCAGCUGGGCUGCGGAGGGCUGGGAGGCGCCACAAGCUGAGCAGAUGUGGCUUUUGAUGGAAACAGCAUCCAAAACCUACCUUAUUUCCAAUGUGUCCUGACCCAAAUCCCUGAUUAGUCACGAAAACGUUUACCUUCUCUGCUAUAGCUCAAAUGUCACAGUUUUCUGUUCAUUUUUCUGAGCCCUCCUCCCCCUUGCUGAUGGCUGCCGUUGGCUCGGCUCAGGUAACUUUUCUGUGGUGACUCAGAUAGUCGGUGUCCACUAUUGCAAUUGAAAUCUGUACUAUUAGAGAAGGGCUUAUGUGAGGCUGGCUGAGAAACAGGGGCCAAAUUUGGGAAGAAUUCCUGUUCUGAUGAGAGGAAAAACUCCAGGGAGAUGUUUAAUUGCUGCAGAUCAAGUGAUAUUAAUAGUAGAGGUCUUUUAUCCUUUGUGUUAAUAAUGAAAUGUCAUGCUGCAUGGAUGUGCACCGAUCAAGUUACUCUCUUCUUUCACUGGCCAGAAUUCUUUCUUUGUUCACCCUACUCUCUCUACAGUAUUUUUCCUUCCUGUUCAUCUUGGCAUAUCUAAAAUUAGAUGACCAGCUUUCCCAGGCACGCACCUGUCCAUGCUUAUAAAGUUUCUAGUGUAGUAUUUGAAGGCCGCAAAUAGAUUAGUUAGCUCUUUCCCUUACUGUACGUUCUUAAAAGGGAAACUGCUGAGACAAAUCUUUCAGGAAUGUAAAUGGCUCCUUUUGUCUAUGCUACAAAUGAAGAAAUGAAGAUAAAUGUCACCCAUGGGUGAUUCCUUUGGAGACUACUCAAGUACAGCCAGAUUGCUUUUGUUCACGCAUUCCAAGCUAACGCCGUUUUCAUACCUGAAUUAGGAAAUCUGGGAUUUAACUGAUUAAUAUGAUGCAUGUAUUUUCAACAAAUCAUGUAUGUGUUAGGGGUUCAUCUACAGUACAAGGGUCAAGGAUUACUGGAGUGCUUCUCCACAGUCUGGAGGCCAGACUGGAAGGCAGAAGACAACCGAUGGUGAAAUCCAUUUUACCGGGCUGGUCAUGUGAAGAGGACAGCGUGGUCUGUGACCUGCCUGCGAGUGGGGUGUGCGGGUGAGCAGAGCUUAGCAUACGGGUCUGCACACACAAGUUUUCAAGAAUUCUGGAUCUUUGCUUGUGGUGAAUGCUCUUCGCUCAUCUUUUUCACUUCAGGCAGAACAAUUCCUGAUGUUUGUGGUCUUUCUUCUUCUGAGAAUAACUCAGAGCCCAUCCGGGGAGUAUCACCAUGGUAUGCAAUCGUAAGUGACCUCUGCAUAGGGAGGCAACUGCCGGCAUUUCUUACAGCAACCAUGUGAUGGCUGGAUGCAGUUUGGCAGCUUUGUGUGUCCAACUCAUGGUGGAUCUGGGCCUGAGGUUUUCUUUCUUUUGUUUAGUUGCUUUUUUAUGUUCGCAUCUAAACUAAACACUAAGGAGUAAUGAAGAAGAAGGAUGGUCUUGUGGUUAAAUGUAUUCAAGGUGCAAUAUGGAACUGGGAGCUAUGUCUGGCUCCACCACAUCUAUGGCCAAGGACAAACAAUUUAAGAUCGCAGGGUUUUCCCAUUAGUGAGAUGAGGAUGAAAGUCCUCUGUGGGUGAAUGAAUAGUUUGAGUGGUUUGAUUCCCAACAGAAAGAGCUAGAGAAAAUUUAAGGGAAAAAAAAAAAAAAUUCCAAAUGGACCAAAUUGAUAGUAAAACCAGAGAGCAGAUAACUAUGCUGUCACUGGCUCUUCUCUGCUCUAUCAGAUCAGUCGUGAUUCUCGGUUAGAAAGAGGAUGCCCUGUGCCACGCAUCCAACAGCCUGUUUGCCGCAGCUGACCUGCUGCGUGGUGAGACAGGCAGGUGCUGAUCUACGUGCCAGUGAGAUCUGUGACAGAAAGUGGCAUACAUGUAAGAGUUUAUCAUCUCUUACCUUGCUCUGUAGAUGAACCUGAACAAGUAGUUUAUCCUGUCGUACACUCGGGAAACAGCACUGAACAAAAGUAAAGCAAGAGUCAAUCUCUGGCUUUCUCUGAGUCUCCAGCAGGCUUUACAGUGUUAACAGUGAGUAGCAGAGAAACUAUGUAUUUAUUCAUUCUGAUUUCACUUGCUGUAAUGGGAAGUAAUUCCCCUGAAGUCAAUGGGAUUGCAGUGGUGUAAGAGCUGCAUCAAUUUCUGUGCCCUUAGGUUGAUGAGAAAAAUAAUAUAUGACCAUAACAUAGCAAACAUAUAUAGAAAAGGCCUCAGGGCAGGGAAACAUUCUGUAAAUGAUAUGGAAACAACAUAUUUAGCAGAUAAGUAUUUCAAAAGUAGGAGGCUGAGGAAAGCUUGCUGUUUGGCCAGUAUAAAGAGCUCUCCCCAAUAUUUUGCCUUUCCACCUCAGCACAGAGCUUCAGCUCUUCUAGAAGCAAUCUUCCUUCACCAGCCGUUGCCGGUGGGCCAGAGAAGUUCACAAUAAGGCAAAAAUGAUCAAUCCCCAUAAAAGACAGGUGUGCAGGAGAGGUAGCUGGGCAGCAGUCAUCUUUCUGGCUACUCCAGUUUCAUGUUUAGUGUGGGAAGGCCGACCAAAAUCGGGAGGAAAAAGAGGAAGGAGGGUGAGGAACCGAGGGGACAAAGCCUGUUGCUGUAACAGAGGGUAGCCCCCUUGUACGGCAAAGGCAGAGCACGAGGUCCCACCAUGACCCGUGACCUUCCCCUCCCUGCAGCCACAGCCCCACGGGGUGACCAGCCACCACGCAGCCCUUCUGCUCCCCAAUGUCCCGGCAGCUGGAGGCGAUUGAGCAGCUGGCAGGGAACCAAAAAAGGAGGAUAGGUGGAAGCACAGAAACCAAAGAGGAGCUCAACAACAUGGAUAUAGAAUAAAGAUGAAACUGAGGAGAGAACCAUGUUGCUUUUUUGGCUUCAAGAGUGUGAUAUGAGUCAUUAUUCCUUAAAAAAGAAAAACAACGUUUGAUCUGGCUGCAGGGAGCGGGGGGUGGGUUGCAAUCAGCACGAUGCUCAUGUCAGGCAGGUGAUGAAGGACAGGGCGGGCAGUGGGGGGAAGCAGUAAGGAGAUCAUGAAGAAAUGUUUUCUGUGCUGUCCCUGCCUUAGGGCAACAGGGUCUGCCUUGGUUCUGAGGGAGGUGGAGACUUGAGAGAGAAAAAAGAAGGCAGAGUUCACACCUCCCUUUCUUUGCAGCGGAUCAGUCUUUUUUCAUCUCUAACACAGGAUUUGGGUACAUUCCAUGCACAACUCACACCUGAUUAGUUAAAGAGGAUUAUAUUAACGCAACUUUGACUGUAGGCAGUCUCAAAUCAGCUUUAACUUCACAGAAGCAUAUUAACUGCAGUGAUUUUUUUUUUUUAAGAUUUGUUUUUAAUCACUACAAGCAUGUCCUCAGAGAAGAUUGCAGCAGUUUUACUGCAAUAGCUGAAAUCUUUGUGAGCUUCGUGAAGGAGGCCCCCCGCCCCGCCAUCGCCGGUUUCGCAUCCCAGUUAGAAAAAUCCCUUUUCAUUUCUUAAGCACAGAGAGAUUCAUUCAGUAAAUGACAGAAAGAAACAGGUCAUUCUGAAUGAUGGCAGUGGCGGGGAAGGGACAGCCUGGUCCAGGGAGUUCAGAGUGGAAGUUCCUCACUGGAAACCUACUGGGGUACCAGUGAUGGGCUGGGAGAGAAUGACUGAGAGAUGGGUGAAGCAUUAUUAAGAUAUGGAUGGAAUUAGGGGACCAAGCCCAGAGAAGUGUUUGGGCUGCAGGAUGGUGGUGCUAGUGGCUAUUUAAGCAGCUACAUCACCAGUCCAAAAUAUCUCAGUUACUAAAAGCUGCCUACAACUUAGUUAUUUGCUUUUUCCAACAAGGAAAAUAGUAUGUCUUGUGGGAAAUCAUGAGGAUGACAUACCCAAGAACAUUGCAUAUUUGAUCACUAAUAAUAUAAAGUAAACAUCUUUAAAAUAUUUCCAGCAACAUCUGUCCUAGUUUAACUACUGGUUCAUGUUGCAUUCCUUUGUGGAAUGAUACUCAUCCCAGAAAGCAGAGCAUGUGCCACUGCCAUCCAUUACAAGAGUUAAACUUGUGGGAUUUUCCCUGUCUAGUGAAGCUGAAUUUCCUUCAACCUUUAAAAAAUGCUUUCUUUUCAUUUUCCACCAUUGCAUAAUCCUGAUUCUCCAAAAGUCUGAGUGCUUGCCUAUGAUCUUAUAUAUUUAGUAUUUGGCUUGGAUAAAAAAGGAGCACAGUGAGAUAGUGGUUUCACUUAUACUGAGGGAAAAAAAAUCCAGAAAAGGGAGAUGUACCAGUUUAAUAGGAAUACAUGGUAAACCUUAGGGGCCUGGGGAGUUGGGCAGAUUAAAAAAAUUAGAGCUUUCAGCCAACAGAAGAGAUUAGCAUCAUCCUCCAAAGGGGGACGGGGCGGGGGAAGUGGGAAUUAAUAAACUACUUAAAACUGAAAACAGCAAAUAAUGGUAAAGAAGAGUGUGAACAGAACUCCCUCUAUAGCCACAGAUGCCAAGGCUGCCUGGACAAGGCAUAUUUGCCCUGUACUAAGGGGUGUAGAUUAUAUGUCCUAAAAUAGAAAGUACUGUAUUGAGCAGGUAUAUGUGUUAGCAUUUUGGAGGAAAAUAUUUCAUUUUAACUGACAAGGACUGCCUUCUUGGUAGUUUUACUAUUUUUGCCAAAACAGUAAUUUUUUUACAGCAGAAUUUACAAUACAUUCUGCUUCUGAGGAAAAGUGUAAGUAUAACACAACUGAAAUAAUCUGUUUUUUUGUGAAAACAACUUUUCUGUUGUUAGAGGGGGGAAAAAAAGGAAAGGAAAGGAGCUCUUUUCUGUUACUAAGAGUAGUAAAAUUCCAGCAACUUAAAAAAGUUCGGGAUGUGAAUUCUUCACGACUUAGAAAUAUGCAGAAAAGUCUUUGGAGGCCAUGAAAUACAGGUAUUUAUUGGGUCUUGAGCUACCUCUGCAAAAGUCUAUUUUUUUUCUCUCCCAAUAUACAAAGUGAUUGAGAAAAAUCAAACCAAUGAAAUGCAAGCACGUUAUAGCUCCAUCUAUAAAGAAACCGAGGUGUGUCAAGUACCAGUUUCCCUAUAGGGAUGUUUAACUCUCUUGUAUCAGCUCAGGAAUGUUGCUGGUCCAAGUCUGGGUAAGAGGAUGGCAGCAGAAAUUGAGCAGAAGGAGAAAGGUUGGGAGAGAGAGGGAAACCCCCAAAUUUCACAAUAAGGCAGAUGUUGUGACACAAGAUGGGGCUAAUCUGUUUUACUGAGACAGUACCAGCUCAAGGACUCCUGUGGCAGCUGUUCUCCUUAUUCAUGCAGUGGUAAAUCCUCCCUCUAGCAAGCUACAGAUUGGAAAAAAGAGUUGUUUAGCAUUUCAGGGCUUUGGUUAACAUUUUGGCUCCCUUACUCAAGCAAGAGACAAAAAAGGAGACCACAGCUGUAUGAGGCCGGGUUUCCCUGUAGGGCUGUCUACCCCUGGAUGACGUUGGCUCCUACGUCAAUUCUCCACACUAUCAGUGUAAACCCCCUCACUUCUCGUUGGCAUUGAAACCAGUAACCUGGCACUGGGCUGCUGUUAUCACAACCUCUCUUCCCUGUAAAGGCGGCUGGACUCUGCUUUUGGCUACAGAAGUGAGAUAAAGGAUAGUGGGGAGUGGGACUGAAACAGCAAGUACAGCUAGGCUUUUUUUUGUUGUUGUUACAGAUUAGAUACGGACUCUGCAAAUCAGAGAUAGCAAGACUGACCUAAAGAUACUGAGUUAGUUUCCAUAGCAAUGAGUCCUAUAAGUUCUCAAAAUAUUCAGGUCUCUAUUAGGCUAGAAGUAGAUAUAAAUAAUCUGCUUACAUAAGGGCAUGCCGGUUCUCAUCCAGCAAACCACUCAAUUUUAAGCACGUGAGUAUCAAGAUGAUGGAUCUCCAUAGGUACCUGACUGUUAUGCUCGCUUGGGAAAGAAACACUCUUGGUGAAAAGUGCCUUUAUGCCUCCAGGUAGCUCUUUUUCAACCCUGACCCCCCUGCCUGGGACUUUCACCUGUGCUUCCUGCUGUCAAGCUACCUUUAAUGCGGACUUUGGGUUUUUUUUCCAUGAGACAGGUCUGUUCCUCUCCACCAAGAAUGAGAGGCAGCACCGAGCACUGCUCCUUCCUCCAGCCUCCUCUCUAGCUUGGCUGGAGGCACCUCGGGCCCUCCACCUCACGAUUCAGGUGAGAUCAGAUACGCUUGCAAAGAGGAAGAAGCACACUCCAAAAUGUGAAUACUGAAUAGGUACCUACUCGCAGGAAGCCUCCUCAUCCCCUCUCCCUCUGUCUCUUCAGCAAGGACUAGAUUGAGUUAUAAAGACGUGACUGAUGGUGCACUGUGUUUCCCAGCCACAGGUCCUGCAGCAUCCCAGUGGGAUGGUGUGACCGGAACGGGAAGUCUCUGCCACGACGGCACGCAGAGCGCACCACCAUGGUGGUGCACCAAGGAGGUACAUCUGGCCACUCUGUACAUGUCCCCAGCACAUACCAUGAUGCUGUCAAUUAACCCAGUGUACUAGAUGGUUUCUUCCUGGAAAAAUAAAUGUAACAUAAACUGGUGGAGUAUGAUAUCACUGAUUUAAGGAGAAGCUGGAGCAGAUGAUGUUGAAGCAAGGUCCUGAACACCCCUGUCCCAGUAGAGGCACCAGAUAGGAGACUCACAGUCAUCUUCCAUCAUCACUUCCACUCUGGAGAGAAAUGGGGCACACCUGUAUCACGGUCACAAGCACCAAUGAAGCUUGUGUAGACGUACCUGAGCUUCUGAAAUUCAGAUGUAAGAACUACUUGAAUUUUAGCUAGAAAUAAACAGCAUAAAGGACAGAACUGUAUCCACCACAGAGAACAUAAACAAUCAGAAGCAUCGGCACUAUACAAAUAUGUUGCUUACAGACACUAAAAAGGUGUAAAUGCAACAUAUCCUUAAAUAUUAUUCGGAAAUUGUUGAAUAUAUUUGUACAUAAUUCUUUACCUUCCAUUCAUUCCCAUUUCUAACACUUCAUGUAGUGUGUGAUAGGCCCUUGACAUACAUCUAUAACCAUCAAGAUUUGUUAAACUAAUCAGAGUACAAUUGGAGCCUCCAAAAUCCGGUUGGCUGAAGUUAAAUGUCACUGUGAAUCACAGGUAUUGUGUUACCAGAUAACACAACAAAAAAAUGAAUCAGAGCGGAACACUUCACUUGAUGCUGUUACAGCUAAUAGGUCUGAAAUGAAAGAUAAUUAUAUAUUAAAAUAGAGUGGGUAGCUCUAUUUUGAUGUAGAGAUAUGAAGAUGUCAGGCAAGCCAGUCUGUAGCAGGAGGGAAUGGGUGCCCUGAAGUGGUUGAGGAGAGGAGCCCAGGAGAGCAUUCCUCGCAUUCCUGCGGCACUUGCCCUGUACAUAUGCCCCACAAAUAAAAGGGAAUCAGCACUCUGGGUUGGUAAACGGAGCUUCAGAAAAGCUGGCACUUUCCUGUAGCUGCAGGCUUGAUUAAUUUGAAGAAAUUAUACUCUCUGGGUGAUGAAUGCGAGGCAUAUUUAAAACUGUGAUUUUUUUUUUAGGGCAAAGGACAUUACAUUUUCAAUCUGUUAGUUAAAAAAAAAAAAAUCCCCCAUAAGGUCUACUACUAAGCACCAACAAGCAAGAUGUAGUCAGGAUGUGGAGCCUUCCCUAGUCUUUUCCCAUGGUCUGCCCAGAAUUAUUGGUAUUAGCUGCAAAAAUAUUUUGCUAACACAUAUGAGUGGGAUUAGCCCAAAGAGUUAUCCUUGUUAAUGAACCAUAUGUAGAACUUCAGUAGGUUUCAUAGAUUACUGUCUGAGGACACAGGCUGCUCGGGAGCCAUGUAUGUCUAAAAGUGUAAGAUUUUGUCUCCUAAUACCAACCCUGCAUGUUGUGUAAGAAAAAAAAUUGUUAUCCCUGUGAUUUUUUGCAAAUAAAAAGUAGAAAUAAAAAUUA